Molecule: ribosomal RNA, 433 nt
Filed under: uncultured bacterium
Lineage: Bacteria
Description: partial 16S ribosomal RNA
Rfam family: Bacterial small subunit ribosomal RNA
Source: RNAcentral
AACGAACGCUGGCGGCAUGCCUAAUACAUGCAAGUCGAACGAGCCCUUCGGGUCCUUUCGCCCACGGGUUCGUAACGCGAGGGAACCUUCCCUUAUGGUCGGAAUAACUCUCCGAAAGGGGUGCUAAUACCGGAUAAUGUCUUCGGACCAAAGAUUUAUCGCCUUUGGAUGGGCCCGCGUUGGAUUAGCUAGUUGGUAGGGUAAAAGCAUACCAAGGCGACGAUCCAUAGCUGGUCUGAGAGGAUGAUCAGCCACACUGGGACUGAGACACGGCCCAGACUCCUACGGGAGGCAGCAGUGGGGAAUAUUGGACAAUGGGCGAAAGCCUGAUCCAGCAAUGCCGCGUGAGUGAUGAAGGCCUUAGGGUUGUAAAGCUCUUUUACCCGGGAUGAUAAUGACAGUACCGGGAGAAUAAGCUCCGGCUAACUACGUG